GAGUAUUAAUCGGUUUUGAAAUCUGUAUUUUCAGGUGUACAUGGAAUUCAAUAGGAUUGUGGGCAAGAACCUUAAGCAAGAGUUCUAUGACAGCAUUGACCGGCACAGUCUUUGUCUAAUUGAGAUCUUUCAAUCCAAGAGAGGGAACAUCGGGCAGCUUUUGGCACAGCUGUCACAGCAGACUAAGGACUCUGAUGACUCAUUCCUCCACCUUGACAUUGCUUUGCUUUUCCCACCCCCCCACCUCAGUCCAGCCUAUCUGAUGAUUGUCAUUGAGGGAAAAGUUCUGAUGGACAACAUUUAAGACCUGCCAAAAGCUAUGUGCAUUCUGUUUGGUCUUACAUAUGCCCUCCAUCUAAACUAUCCCAAAUCAAUGAGAAACACAUUCCAGUUCAUCCAACAGGUACUUCUCUCACUGGGCCACAUGGGCAACUUAAACCCAAAUUACAAUCGCUGAAAAAACAGCUUACACUGUAAGUAACUGCUGUGCCAUGUUUAAUGUGAAGGCAUAGCUGCUUUGUUUUUCCAGUGCCUUUUCCCCACUACAAUCUUGUGUGUCUGUAUUCAUUGUAUUGUUAUUGUCCUUGAACCAGUGCUAAAAAAGAAAUGUUAAACUGGUUUGUUCCAUUUUGUAUUAUGCUGAUUUAAGUUUAUUGUGGGAUGGAAAUGUCCAAUCACUUCUGUUAUGUCACUUCAGACAUUUUUAGGACUGCAUGUCAGUCCUCAAUUGACAGGAUAUACUUAAAGACGAGCUCUGGUGUGAAAUUGACUUUGGGUGUAGUUAGUAAAACAUGAUAAAAAGUACUAACCUUUGUUGAAUAGCCAAGCUCCAUUCUCCCACAGCUUUCCGAGAGCCAGCUAUGUUGUGUUUUUUGUCUAAACAUGCUUUAGAAUGGGUGAAACAGGGUAUGUUUACCCCUGCAGAUAAAUUGCUUUUUACACCGUUAUCCAAGCUCAAAGUAGCUCCACACCUCAUUCGUAGAAACCAGAGAGCACUCAGAUUCAGUUCAUGUUACGGGUUGUAAACAGUGUUUGUUUUUUAAUAAACUUUUUGUGCACUUUUAAAUUUCUU
Molecule: long non-coding RNA, 1072 nt
Filed under: Astyanax mexicanus (Mexican tetra)
Lineage: Eukaryota; Metazoa; Chordata; Actinopteri; Characiformes; Acestrorhamphidae
Description: lncRNA (ENSAMXG00005001802.1)
Source: RNAcentral